RNAcentral lists this long non-coding RNA (889 nucleotides) under Crocodylus porosus (Australian saltwater crocodile). RNAcentral's name for it is "lncRNA (ENSCPRG00005003624.1)". Lineage: Eukaryota; Metazoa; Chordata; Crocodylia; Crocodylidae. The record is from RNAcentral.
GUAAUGUCUUCAUUCUGCUAUCAAACAUCAUUAAGGGCAAUGGUAACAUCAUCGGUCUCAGCAGCAGCAUUAGAUUAACACAGUGAUUGGCAACCUACAAAUGCCAGGCACUUGGAAGCAGCAUACCACAUCUUCAGUUUACAUCUUUUCCAUACUCUGCUCUUUGUAGGAUCUUGCAGAAGUCAGGACGGACCCACCAAAAAUCCAGACAGGGUGGCAGACAAAGCUACAAUGGAUUUCUGCUUAUUGCUCUGUUCAGUAUAUCAGUAUCAAUAGAUAUUGGAUUAACGAGGAGGAGCUGAAUAAAUGGAAACAUGCAAGCAAUCUUUAUAUGUAUUGGUUUCGAGCAGCUGCAUCUUGUGAAGACAAGGCUUAGAGCUGCGCUGUUCGGAAGAAGCGAGAUUGUCUUCCCUUACAGCUACGACGCUGCAUCGCUCUCGGCGUAUCCUGCUUUUUCCCCAUUUACCUGGGCGGCUGCUGCUGCUGUUUCUGCUGCUGCUACUGGGGCUGCUGCAGUCUCACUGCCUGUGCUUCACCCUGGCAUGUCUGAUUUGAGACUCACUCGUCUGCACACUGCUAAGGAAGAGCAGCGAUGGAACUUUGUGCGCAUUUUUUUCCUAUUGCUGCUGGAAAAGAAGGGUUGCAAUGUAGGGUGUUUUUCUGGGGGUUGAGGUGGGCUGUUAAUCUAAGGUGGGAUGGGAGAAAGUUUAAGGAAAUAUGACGCAAAGUAAUUCAGUACACAACAAGGGCAUCAGCAGCAAGAAUCCAGCCUUUGUGGCUCGAAAGGAUUAACGUGGGAGAAGCCACAGUGAUGCAGUAGUGCUUCACCUCAGCAUUGUGCUGGAGAUGGAUAAAUAAAGGUACCCGUUGUGUCCGCCUGUGAGGGUAA